UUCGAAACUGGCAGGCUUGAGUCUUGUAGAGGGGGGUAGAAUUCCAGGUGUAGCGGUGAAAUGCGUAGAGAUCUGGAGGAAUACCGGUGGCGAAGGCGGCCCCCUGGACAAAGACUGACGCUCAGGUGCGAAAGCGUGGGGAGCAAACAGGAUUAGAUACCCUGGUAGUCCACGCCGUAAACGAUGUCUACUUGGAGGUUGUGCCCUUGAGGCGUGGCUUCCGGAGCUAACGCGUUAAGUAGACCGCCUGGGGAGUACGGCCGCAAGGUUAAAACUCAAAUGAAUUGACGGGGGCCCGCACAAGCGGUGGAGCAUGUGGUUUAAUUCGAUGCAACGCGAAGAACC
RNAcentral lists this ribosomal RNA (345 nucleotides) under Salmonella enterica. Its description in RNAcentral is "bacterial SSU rRNA". It matches the Rfam family "Bacterial small subunit ribosomal RNA", at positions 626 to 970 of the family's 1533-position model. RNAcentral also lists the same sequence under 11 other names. Lineage: Bacteria; Pseudomonadati; Pseudomonadota; Gammaproteobacteria; Enterobacterales; Enterobacteriaceae. The record is from RNAcentral.